UAAGACCUUGCGCUUUUUGAGCGGCCGAUGCCUGAUUAGCUUGUUGGUGGGGUAAAGGCUUACCAAGGCAACGAUCAGUAGCUGGUCUGAGAGGACGACCAGCCACACUGGGACUGAGACACGGCCCAGACUCCUACGGGAGGCAGCAGUGGGGAAUGUUGGACAAGCGGCGAAACCCUGAUCCAGCCAUGCCGCGUGGGUGAAGAAGGCCUUCGGGUUGUAAAGCUCUUUCGGUCGGGAAGAACUAGUUGCGGCUAAGAUCUGCAACAAAUGACGGUACCGCCAUAAGAAGCACCGGCUAACUACGUGCCAGCAGCCGCGGUAAUACGUAGGGUACAAGCGUUAAUCGGAAUUAUUGGGCGUAAAGGGUGCGCAGGUGGUUAUAUAAGUCAGAUGUGAAAUCCCUGGGCUUAACCUAGGAAUU
This 424-nucleotide ribosomal RNA is filed under the name uncultured ammonia-oxidizing beta proteobacterium. RNAcentral's name for it is "bacterial SSU rRNA". It matches the Rfam family "Bacterial small subunit ribosomal RNA", at positions 202 to 622 of the family's 1533-position model. Lineage: Bacteria; Pseudomonadati; Pseudomonadota; Betaproteobacteria. The record is from RNAcentral.